UUAUGGCUCAGGAUGAACGCUAGCUACAGGCUUAACACAUGCAAGUCGAGGGGCAGCAUGGAGUAGCAAUACUUCAGAUGGCGACCGGCGCACGGGUGAGUAACACGUAUCCAACCUGCCGCUUACUCGGGGAUAGCCUUUCGAAAGAAAGAUUAAUACCUCAUAACAUUGCAGUUUCGCAUGGAACAGCAAUUAAAGGAGUAAUCCGCUAUGAGAUGGGCCCGCGGCGCAUUAGCUAGUUGGUGAGGUAAUGGCUCACCAAGGCGACGAUGCGUAGCCGACCUGAGAGGGUGAUCGGCCACAUUGGGACUGAGACACGGCCCAGACUCCUACGGGAGGCAGCAGUGGGGAAUAUUGCACAAUGGGGGAAACCCUGAUGCAAGCAACGCCGCGUGAGUGAUGACGGCCUUCGGGUUGUAAAGCUCUGUCUUCAGGGACGAUAAUGACGGUACCUGAGGAGGAAGCCACGGCUAACUACGUGCCAGCCGCUGC
This 492-nucleotide ribosomal RNA is filed under the name uncultured bacterium. RNAcentral describes it as "bacterial SSU rRNA". It matches the Rfam family "Bacterial small subunit ribosomal RNA", at positions 17 to 518 of the family's 1533-position model. The record is from RNAcentral.